GAUGAACGCUGGCGGCGUGCCUAAUACAUGCAAGUCGAGCGAAUGGAUUGAGAGCUUGCUCUUAUGAAGUUAGCGGCGGACGGGUGAGUAACACGUGGGUAACCUGCCCAUAAGACUGGGAUAACUCCGGGAAACCGGGGCUAAUACCGGAUAACAUUUUGAACCGCAUGGUUCGAAAUUGAAAGGCGGCUUCGGCUGUCACCUAUGGAUGGACCCGCGUCGCAUUAGCUAGUUGGUGAGGUAACGGCUCACCAAGGCAACGAUGCGUAGCCGACCUGAGAGGGGGAUCGGCCACACUGGGACUGAGAAACGGCCCAGACUCCUACGGGAGGCAGCAGUAGGGAAUCUUCCGCAAUGGACGAAAGUCUGACGGAGCAACGCCGCGUGAGUGAUGAAGGCUUUCGGGUCGUAAAACUCUGUUGUUAGGGAAGAACAAGUGCUAGUUGAAUAAGCUGGCACCUUGACGGUACCUAACCAGAAAGCCACGGCUAACUACGUGCCAGCAGCCGCCGUAA
Molecule: ribosomal RNA, 515 nt
Filed under: uncultured bacterium
Lineage: Bacteria
Description: partial 16S ribosomal RNA
Rfam family: Bacterial small subunit ribosomal RNA
Source: RNAcentral